Molecule: ribosomal RNA, 319 nt
Filed under: uncultured eukaryote
Lineage: Eukaryota
Description: partial 18S ribosomal RNA
Rfam family: Eukaryotic small subunit ribosomal RNA
Source: RNAcentral
CCCUUAGAUGAUUUGGGCUGCACGCGCGCUACACUGACCCUAACAAUGAGCAACUGUCUGGCCUGAGAUGGCUGGGUAGCCUUUUCAACCCAUGUCAUGAUUGGGCUAGAUUUUUGUAAGUCUUGAUCUCUAACGAGGAAUCCCUAGUAUGCGUGAAUCAUCAAUCCAUGCAGAUUAUGUCCCUGCCCUUUGUACACACCGCCCGUCGCUCCUACUGAUUGGGUGAUCCGGUGAGCUGUUCGGCCAUAGCAAUGUUUCUUGAGCAGGGCAAUGGAUGUUUCGCAAACCUUGCCACUUAGAGGAAGGAGAAGUCGUAACA